GCGCCAUUAGCUCAGCUAGGCAGAGCAGCUGACUCUUAAUCAGCGGGUCCGGGGUUCGAUUCCCUGAUGGCGCA
This 74-nucleotide transfer RNA is filed under the name Candidatus Zixiibacteriota bacterium. RNAcentral's name for it is "tRNA-Lys". It matches the Rfam family "tRNA". Rfam says of the family: Transfer RNA (tRNA) molecules are approximately 80 nucleotides in length. Their secondary structure includes four short double-helical elements and three loops (D, anti-codon, and T loops). Further hydrogen bonds mediate the characteristic L-shaped molecular structure. tRNAs have two regions of fundamental functional importance: the anti-codon, which is responsible for specific mRNA codon recognition, and the 3' end, to which the tRNAs corresponding amino acid is attached (by aminoacyl-tRNA synthetases). tRNAs cope with the degeneracy of the genetic code in two manners: having more than one tRNA (with a specific anti-codon) for a particular amino acid; and 'wobble' base-pairing, i.e. permitting non-standard base-pairing at the 3rd anti-codon position. Lineage: Bacteria; Pseudomonadati; Candidatus Zixiibacteriota. The record is from RNAcentral.